UUUUAUGCCAACUGCGAGGGAAUAAACAGUCUCAUCAGCCCAUCUGCAGCUGUGCCUUUGCCACCUUCUGCCCCCAAGGAGGCCUUUGUACAACUGUCACCCUCAGGAACCUAUGAAAAGCAUUUUUCAUCCCAGACUUGGCCCCAGGUGGACGCACCUUUUCCCUUAUAUUUCACCUCAUGGAACUCCUCUCCCUCUGGUCCAGGGCAGGACCUUCGCACAGUCCAUUCUGCCACACAAGCACCUUUAUGAAGCCAGAAGGAAAAGCCAGGAUGCGCGUGAUGAGUAGGUGAUUUGUGUGGGUCAGAUUUUCUGCACUGUGGCUGCUGACAAACAUGAUCAUGCCAAGCAGGCCACAAAAGUGGUGAAGAUUGUGUACCAAGACGUGGAGCCUAUAAUUGUGAACAUUCAGAUCUGGCUGCCCAAUCCAUUUUAUUCUAGAACAUGGGGACAACAUGUUGAUAACUGGAGGAUGGCACCCACUACCUGGGACAUAUAAGAAUACCUGCCGGACCCUCGUGGAAUGCCUUGAACCUAUUAUCAGAUGGAGUACUAGUGGCACCUGGGAGAAGUGGGCUAAUGAAGCUUUUGCUCAAAGCACUAGUUUGUCUGCCACUGGAUAUUUUAGGACUGACAAUAGGCGCUGGCUGCAGCCUGGCCCAGAUGCAGGACAUCUUGGCUGAGAGGGUAGCUGAGCUCCCAGAGGAGAAAACACAGACGUACUGAGCCCUCCUGAAGCACCUGAGGAGU
Long non-coding RNA from Homo sapiens (human), 750 nucleotides. Ensembl annotates it as AOX3P-AOX2P readthrough, transcribed pseudogene. Its record names the gene AOX3P-AOX2P. The record is from Ensembl. Lineage: Eukaryota; Metazoa; Chordata; Mammalia; Primates; Hominidae.